Esox lucius (northern pike) is the source of this 1299-nucleotide long non-coding RNA. NCBI's taxonomy places the organism in Eukaryota, Metazoa, Chordata, Actinopteri, Esociformes, Esocidae. The record is from Ensembl.
UGCAACUCCUUCAUCUCUCUCUGAGUCUGAGUGUUACUUCAAAUUUGAGGGGCAAGUUGAGUUUACCCUACCAGCAGCCUGUCAACAGACACUCAGAGUCACAGGAAAUCAUCUGUUACGGUGGACAGGUCGAAGUUCACCUGCUGUGGUCAAAAUACAAUGUCAAUACAGUAACACAAGCUUUCAGUUUAGAUCCAUAUUCAGUGACCCAUCUACAGUCACAAUUGAGGAUCAUCCUCAGCUGACAGUGAUUCCUACAGUCAUCAGAAAGAGAGACUCAGUUCAGCUGAUCUGUGAGACUCCUCCAUCUGUCUAUGUGUCUGACUGUAUCUUCAGUGAAGUGGGGAGAUCUAGUCUGCCAGGCUCAACCUGUAAACAGACGGUCACAGGAUCUCAGCUGCUCUCUUGGACAGGUCAACCAUUACCAGCUGUGGUCCAGGUCACAUGUCACUACACUGUAGGGAUGUCUCACACAUCUCCUGUCAGUGACCCAGUUUCUGUCACUGUCCAGGGUGAACUACAGAAACCAGAGAUACAUAUGAAGGAUGAGUCUUCUGAUGUCAUCUCUAUAGACUCCCACUCUGUGUCCCCACACAGUGAUGGAUACAACUUACCAGAUCUGCCGGGAGAUCUCAUGAUCAGUGAUCCAACAACUAAACAGACAUCUUCUACAGCAGUUCCUGCUGAAGAGAACGAACAGUCAUCUGGAAAUGGCAAUUCUGGUAUAUACCACAUGUACUGCUCAGUCCCUGAUCGACCAGCAACUUCAGCCCAGACAGUUGGGCUGUAGAGUCUUCUGCAGACACACUGAAACUACACCACUGGUUUUCUGUUGCUACAUUUAAAAGGUCUCAAACAAAUACCCUAUUUUUAACAUAAUGUCUUAAGUUCACAUCACUUUACUUGAAAUUAUCACUUACACCUGACUUUUGUUACAUAUCCAUAAUAUCUAUUUUAGUGUUUAAGUAAUUCGGGACAUAUUAUUUUUGUAUUUGUUUCUUCUUUUGCCCCUAGUAAAUUAUGUUUAAUCUGCAGUAUUAAUGUUUAUUGUCAGCUGUGUGAGGAGUUUUUCCAUAGUGCUUGGAUUCAGUUUCCAAUAUUUAUUCCAGUAUUUGGAGUAAACAUUUAUAUCAAUUGAUGCCUUUAUUGUAUACUCACACAUUAUGCAACAUGCAUAUUGGAUAUCAAGUUACUUUAAUUAACAGUAAUUAGGAAUGGAUCCAAACAGAAUUUCAUCCAAUAAAUGUCAUUAAUUCAAAAAUAUGCAUUCUAAAUGUAAUGUAGUGUUGUAAAGGACAG